Molecule: non-coding RNA, 231 nt
Filed under: Paraliobacillus sp. PM-2
Lineage: Bacteria; Bacillati; Bacillota; Bacilli; Caryophanales; Bacillaceae
Also listed under: 1 other name
Description: T-box
Rfam family: T-box leader
About the family: Uncharged tRNA acts as the effector for transcription antitermination of genes in the T-box leader family. T-boxes are found upstream of many aminoacyl-tRNA synthetase genes and some amino acid biosynthetic genes usually in Gram-positive bacteria. The anticodon of a specific tRNA base pairs to a specifier sequence within the T-box motif, and the NCCA acceptor tail of the tRNA base pairs to a conserved bulge in the T-box antiterminator hairpin.
Source: RNAcentral
UAAAAACCAAUGAAGGAAACAGUAAUUUAGAUAGGUGGGGAAAGAGAGAGAAUCUCAUUGGCUGAAAAGAUUCUUGCUUAACGUCUAGAUGAAGGACAUUCCGAAGGUGUUGUGUUGAACAAAUGAUAGUAAAUGCAAACGUAAUAACAGGCGUUAACUGUUAGAGUGGAAAUACGGAUGGUGUAAUGUAUUUCAACUAGGGUGGCAACACGGGUAACUCUCGUCCCUUUU